UUAAGUUAUUAAGGGCGCACGGUGGAUGCCUUGGCACUAGAAGCCGAUGAAGGACGUUACUAACGACGAUAUGCUUUGGGGAGCUGUAAGUAAGCUUUGAUCCAGAGAUUUCCGAAUGGGGAAACCCAGCAUGAGUUAUGUCAUGUUAUCGAUAUGUGAAUACAUAGCAUAUCAGAAGGCACACCCGGAGAACUGAAACAUCUUAGUACCCGGAGGAAGAGAAAGAAAAUUCGAUUCCCUUAGUAGCGGCGAGCGAAACGGGAAGAGCCCAAACCAACAAGCUUGCUUGUUGGGGUUGUAGGACACUCUAUACGGAGUUACAAAGGACGACAUUAGACGAAUCAUCUGGAAAGAUGAAUCAAAGAAGGUAAUAAUCCUGUAGUCGAAAAUGUUGUCUCUCUUGAGUGGAUCCUGAGUACGACGGAGCACGUGAAAUUCCGUCGGAAUCUGGGAGGACCAUCUCCUAAGGCUAAAUACUCUCUAGUGACCGAUAGUGAACCAGUACCGUGAGGGAAAGGUGAAAAGCACCCCGGAAGGGGAGUGAAAUAGAACCUGAAACCGUGUGCUUACAAGUAGUCAGAGCCCGUUAAUGGGUGAUGGCGUGCCUUUUGUAGAAUGAACCGGCGAGUUACGAUUUGAUGCAAGGUUAAGCAGUAAAUGUGGAGCCGUAGCGAAAGCGAGUCUGAAUAGGGCGUUUAGUAUUUGGUCGUAGACCCGAAACCAGGUGAUCUACCCUUGGUCAGGUUGAAGUUCAGGUAACACUGAAUGGAGGACCGAACCGACUUACGUUGAAAAGUGAGCGGAUGAACUGAGGGUAGCGGAGAAAUUCCAAUCGAACCUGGAGAUAGCUGGUUCUCUCCGAAAUAGCUUUAGGGCUAGCCUCAAGUGAUGAUUAUUGGAGGUAGAGCACUGUUUGGACGAGGGCCCCUCUCGGGUUACCGAAUUCAGACAAACUCCGAAUGCCAAUUAAUUUAACUUGGGAGUCAGAACAUGGGUGAUAAGGUCCGUGUUCGAAAGGGAAACAGCCCAGACCACCAGCUAAGGUCCCAAAAUAUAUGUUAAGUGGAAAAGGAUGUGGCGUUGCCCAGACAACUAGGAUGUUGGCUUAGAAGCAGCCAUCAUUUAAAGAGUGCGUAAUAGCUCACUAGUCGAGUGACACUGCGCCGAAAAUGUACCGGGGCUAAACAUAUUACCGAAGCUGUGGAUUGUCCUUUGGACAAUGGUAGGAGAGCGUUCUAAGGGCGUUGAAGCAUGAUCGUAAGGACAUGUGGAGCGCUUAGAAGUGAGAAUGCCGGUGUGAGUAGCGAAAGACGGGUGAGAAUCCCGUCCACCGAUUGACUAAGGUUUCCAGAGGAAGGCUCGUCCGCUCUGGGUUAGUCGGGUCCUAAGCUGAGGCCGACAGGCGUAGGCGAUGGAUAACAGGUUGAUAUUCCUGUACCACCUAUAAUCGUUUUAAUCGAUGGGGGGACGCAGUAGGAUAGGCGAAGCGUGCGAUUGGAUUGCACGUCUAAGCAGUAAGGCUGAGUAUUAGGCAAAUCCGGUACUCAUUAAGGCUGAGCUGUGAUGGGGAGAAGACAUUGUGUCUUCGAGUCGUUGAUUUCACACUGCCGAGAAAAGCCUCUAGAUAGAAAAUAGGUGCCCGUACCGCAAACCGACACAGGUAGUCAAGAUGAGAAUUCUAAGGUGAGCGAGCGAACUCUCGUUAAGGAACUCGGCAAAAUGACCCCGUAACUUCGGGAGAAGGGGUGCUCUUUAGGGUUAACGCCCAGAAGAGCCGCAGUGAAUAGGCCCAAGCGACUGUUUAUCAAAAACACAGGUCUCUGCUAAACCGUAAGGUGAUGUAUAGGGGCUGACGCCUGCCCGGUGCUGGAAGGUUAAGAGGAGUGGUUAGCUUCUGCGAAGCUACGAAUCGAAGCCCCAGUAAACGGCGGCCGUAACUAUAACGGUCCUAAGGUAGCGAAAUUCCUUGUCGGGUAAGUUCCGACCCGCACGAAAGGCGUAACGAUUUGGGCACUGUCUCAACGAGAGACUCGGUGAAAUCAUAGUACCUGUGAAGAUGCAGGUUACCCGCGACAGGACGGAAAGACCCCGUGGAGCUUUACUGUAGCCUGAUAUUGAAAUUCGGCACAGCUUGUACAGGAUAGGUAGGAGCCUUUGAAACGUGAGCGCUAGCUUACGUGGAGGCGCUGGUGGGAUACUACCCUAGCUGUGUUGGCUUUCUAACCCGCACCACUUAUCGUGGUGGGAGACAGUGUCAGGCGGGCAGUUUGACUGGGGCGGUCGCCUCCUAAAAGGUAACGGAGGCGCUCAAAGGUUCCCUCAGAAUGGUUGGAAAUCAUUCAUAGAGUGUAAAGGCAUAAGGGAGCUUGACUGCGAGACCUACAAGUCGAGCAGGGUCGAAAGACGGACUUAGUGAUCCGGUGGUUCCGCAUGGAAGGGCCAUCGCUCAACGGAUAAAAGCUACCCCGGGGAUAACAGGCUUAUCUCCCCCAAGAGUUCACAUCGACGGGGAGGUUUGGCACCUCGAUGUCGGCUCAUCGCAUCCUGGGGCUGUAGUCGGUCCCAAGGGUUGGGCUGUUCGCCCAUUAAAGCGGUACGCGAGCUGGGUUCAGAACGUCGUGAGACAGUUCGGUCCCUAUCCGUCGUGGGCGUAGGAAAUUUGAGAGGAGCUGUCCUUAGUACGAGAGGACCGGGAUGGACAUACCUCUGGUGUACCAGUUGUCGUGCCAACGGCAUAGCUGGGUAGCUAUGUGUGGACGGGAUAAGUGCUGAAAGCAUCUAAGCAUGAAGCCCCCCUCAAGAUGAGAUUUCCCAACUUCGGUUAUAAGAUCCCUCAAAGAUGAUGAGGUUAAUAGGUUCGAGGUGGAAGCAUGGUGACAUGUGGAGCUGACGAAUACUAAUCGAUCGAAGACUUAAUCAA
This 2920-nucleotide ribosomal RNA is filed under the name Staphylococcus aureus. RNAcentral describes it as "bacterial LSU rRNA". It matches the Rfam family "Bacterial large subunit ribosomal RNA". The record is from RNAcentral. Lineage: Bacteria; Bacillati; Bacillota; Bacilli; Caryophanales; Staphylococcaceae.